CUUGUUUAUUGCUGGUUUGUGCACAUAUAGAAACAGUGAUUACACGGCUCUGCACAGCUACAUCCAUGCAUGUGUGUGCACGUGCCUGCGAGUCCACAAACUCUUUCUGAAUAUGUCUCCAGAGUGUUUAUUAUAUCCGAUACUGUACCUCUUUCUCGCACCACAUAUUUCUGUGCCGAUCGAUUUCUCUGACUCCCAACAAGACAAUAAUCGCACCUCCCUCUCUCUCCCCUUCUCUCCAGCAUUAUUACUGCCCUCCCCAAGGAGCACAACGCAAAGAUGGAGGGAUGGAAACGGAGAAGUAAAGGCACUGAUGAGAUAAAGAAGAGGCAAAAUUUGAUUACGCUGCUCUACAAGUGCAAAUGAAAGAAGGUGCUGAAAGGAGCCGGUGCCGCCUGGCAGCCGGCCCGCUGAUCUACCGCGCACGCCGCCAGCUGUUAGAUACUACACUUUACAGGUUUAUCGAUUCAACCCGACUUAAAUUGGCUCCCAAUUAAACAGAGCGCUUAUUUGA
Molecule: long non-coding RNA, 514 nt
Organism: Thalassophryne amazonica
Lineage: Eukaryota; Metazoa; Chordata; Actinopteri; Batrachoidiformes; Batrachoididae
Exons: 2
Source: RefSeq, a predicted model, not a curated record